GAUGAAACGACGUGGCGGCGUGCCCUAACCACAUAACGCAAGUCGAACGAACGACGGCCUGGCCCCCGACGGUUCUUUCGGGAACGAGGAGCCUUGCGACUGAGUGGCGGACGGGUGAGUAACGCGUGGGCAACCUGCCUUGCACUGGGGAUAACAGCCAGAAAUGGCUGCUAAUACCGCAUAAGACCGAAGCGCCGCAUGGCGCGGCGGCCAAAGCCCCGGCGGUGCAAGAUGGGCCCGCGUCUGAUUAGGUAGUUGGCGGGGUAACGGCCCACCAAGCCGACGAUCAGUAGCCGACCUGAGAGGGUGACCGGCCACAUUGGGACUGAGACACGGCCCAGACUCCUACGGGAGGCAGCAGUGGGGAAUAUUGCACAAAUGGGGAAAACCCUGAUGCAGCGACGCCGCGUGAAGGAUGAAAGUAUUUCGGUAUGUAAACUUCUAUCAGCAGGGAAGAAGAUGACGGUACCUGACUAAGAAGCCCCGGCUAACUACGUGCCAGCAGCCGCCGUAAG
Molecule: ribosomal RNA, 515 nt
Filed under: uncultured bacterium
Lineage: Bacteria
Description: bacterial SSU rRNA
Rfam family: Bacterial small subunit ribosomal RNA
Source: RNAcentral